Molecule: ribosomal RNA, 253 nt
Filed under: uncultured bacterium
Lineage: Bacteria
Description: partial 16S ribosomal RNA
Rfam family: Bacterial small subunit ribosomal RNA
Source: RNAcentral
UACGUAGGGUCCGAGCGUUAAUCGGAAUUACUGGGCGUAAAGCGUGCGCAGGCGGUUUUGUAAGCCAGAUGUGAAAUCCCCGGGCUCAACCUGGGAACUGCAUUUGGGACUGCAAGGCUUGAGUACGGCAGAGGGGGGUAGAAUUCCACGUGUAGCAGUGAAAUGCGUAGAGAUGUGGAGGAAUACCGAUGGCGAAGGCAGCCCCCUGGGAUAACACUGACGCUCAUGCACGAAAGCGUGGGGAGCAAACAGG